GCAACUGGCGGAAGUGGAAUAACCACAGGGAACCGUAUGUGGAUAGGCCGACCGCCUGGGCAUAC
Molecule: non-coding RNA, 65 nt
Filed under: uncultured Bulleidia sp.
Lineage: Bacteria; Bacillati; Bacillota; Erysipelotrichia; Erysipelotrichales; Erysipelotrichaceae
Description: ZMP/ZTP riboswitch
Rfam family: ZMP/ZTP riboswitch aptamer (pfl RNA motif)
About the family: Previously known as pfl RNA.
Source: RNAcentral